Long non-coding RNA from Agelaius phoeniceus (red-winged blackbird), 125 nucleotides. RefSeq lists it as uncharacterized. The record is from RefSeq and is a predicted model, not a curated record. NCBI's taxonomy places the organism in Eukaryota, Metazoa, Chordata, Aves, Passeriformes, Icteridae.
CUCCUGUUGACAGUAAGAAGCAUUGUACUUCUUGCUGCAUUCCCUGUGGUAUGGGCAGAUGGAUCUGAAAGUCAUCAGCGAGCAGUGAAAGUAAUGCAGAGAGGGGAAGUGCUGUGUCAGCGUGA